RNAcentral lists this unclassified non-coding RNA (231 nucleotides) under uncultured fungus. RNAcentral describes it as "sequence contains ITS2". Lineage: Eukaryota; Fungi. The record is from RNAcentral.
AAUGCACCUUGCGCCCCUUGGUAUCCCGAGGGGCAUGCCCGUUUGAGUGUCAUGGUGUUCUCAACCUGUCCUAGGGGCAGUGUUGGACUUGGGCUUGCAGGCUCUCUGCUUGCCUUGAAUGCAUUAGCUGGUGCUGGACGUGGUAACCCUUAUACGUCUCUCCUGGCUCACAGCAUAUACCUACUUUGACCUUUGGACCUCAAAUCGGGCAAGACUACCCGCUGAACUUAA